UUCCCAAACCAAGCUCCCUCUUCCUUUCCUUCCUUCUUCUCUCUCCCUCCCUUGGACUCUUUGUCUUCUUCCUUCUCUUCUUCUUCUUUCCUCUUCUUUGGUGUUGCUUGCUACCUUGUUUUUCCCUCAUCAAAUAUAGGGAUCUAAUUAUGGGAGCAAGCAUCAGCAUUUUGGAUUCGUGCAUAGAGGGGAGGCCAAUCUGUAGAAGGUGGAUAGCUCCUUGGAUUAGUAAAUCUAUAGUGAUAUUUUGUAUAAGAAUGAUGUAAAAGGUGUGGGAAAUACCAAGUGUAAUAGUUAGUUAUUUUGAUAACUAAAAGUAUAUUAUCUUUUAUAUUAUA
Non-coding RNA from Elaeis guineensis (African oil palm), 338 nucleotides. NCBI's taxonomy places the organism in Eukaryota, Viridiplantae, Streptophyta, Magnoliopsida, Arecales, Arecaceae. The record is from RefSeq and is a predicted model, not a curated record.